UGACACCCAGGCGAAGCUCCACCUUCAGACUGAAAGCCAGGUGCAGGCUUCUCAUCUGGUGUCCUGACACCAGGU
RNAcentral lists this long non-coding RNA (75 nucleotides) under Oryctolagus cuniculus (rabbit). Its description in RNAcentral is "lncRNA (ENSOCUG00000038116.1)". Lineage: Eukaryota; Metazoa; Chordata; Mammalia; Lagomorpha; Leporidae. The record is from RNAcentral.